CCAACGGCUAGCAAGCGUUGACGUGUGAGCUCCGCCGGUACGCGCACCAGAUCGAGUGUACCCGUGCACGAGGCGCCGGCCUGGAGUCGCGGUCGCUGCCGCAUGGCCCUGGCCUCCCUCGCGGCCUCGCUCCCAGUCGCCGCCACCGCCGCCGCGGUGAGAUUCCCAUUCCGUUUCCGCAUCGGUCGCGCCAUGGCCUCCGCCGCCGCAGGGGCCUCGCCGGCGAGGGUGGCCGUGGUACAGAUGACCUCCGUGGGGGACGUCGACGCCAACUACGCCACCUGCUCCCGCCUCACCAAGGAAGCAGCUGCUUCUGGAGUGAAAUUUCUUUGCUUCCCUGAGGUCUUCUCAUUCAUUGGAUCCAAGGAUGGCGAGGCUAUGAAGCUAGCUGAACCAUUAGAUGGGCCAAUAAUGCAGAGAUACUGCUCACUUGCAAAAGAAUCAAGCAUGUGGCUAUCUCUUGGGGGUUUUCAAGAAAAGGGACCUGAUGAUUCUCACCAGUACAAUACUCAUGUAUUAAUUGAUGACACUGGAAAAGUUAGGAGCUCAUAUCGAAAAAUACAUUUGUUUGAUGUUGAUGUACCUGGCAAUAUGGUGUACAAGGAAAGUCGUUUCACAGCCGCAGGUGAUACUAUUGUUGCUGUGGAUAGCCCUUUUGGACGGUUGGGGCUUACUGUUUGCUAUGAUUUGAGAUUCCCAGAGCUUUAUCAAAUUUUGCGUUUUAAGCAUCAAGCACAGGUAUUACUAGUGCCAUCUGCAUUCACAAAGAUAACGGGAGAGGCACACUGGGAAAUUCUCCUCCGAGCUCGUGCAAUUGAGACACAAUGUUAUGUUAUUGCUGCUGCUCAAGCUGGAAAGCACAAUGAAAAAAGAGAAAGUUACGGUGAUUCUAUAAUUAUUGACCCAUGGGGGACAGUGAUAGCUCGACUUCCAGAAAAAUGUGGUUGCAGAUCGGCUCUCCACUGGAUUUGCAGUUGCAGAUCUUGAUUUGUCAAAAGUUGAGGCUGUGAGAACUCGAAUGCCAAUUUCAGAGCACCGGAAGUUCGACAGCGAUUGGAAACCCACGCCUCUUUAGUAGCUGAGGGUUUAUUUUGUGUUUCCUAUGUUUAAUGUUAGCGUGGGCUACAAAGCUUUGAAUAGGUGUAAACGCUCAGAAAAAGGUGAAUUGGUCUAAACGCCCCCAAAAAAGAUAUAUAGUGGAAGGAUCAAAAUGUAUAAGAGGUGAAUUGUAUAAGAGGGAGGUGAUGAGUUAGUCUAAAUUUAUUUUGCACAAAUGACACCGAAUAUUCAUUAUACAUGUGACAUGAUAGAAAUCACAUGUAUAGCUUCAUCGUACAUUGUAUUGUUAUAGAACCAAUGUUCAUGAUAAAUCUUUCCUUGAA
This is an RNA transcript of Zea mays, 1382 nucleotides long. It is a transcript of the gene named Nitrilase-like protein 2, with no coding region annotated. The record is from RefSeq and is marked provisional. Lineage: Eukaryota; Viridiplantae; Streptophyta; Magnoliopsida; Poales; Poaceae. The transcript is spliced from 10 exons.